GAAUAAGCAAAGCAGAGGCCUAUGAAAUUCCAUCUCUCUAAAAUCACACACACACACACACACACACACACACACACACACACACACACACACACACACAGUGUGUGCAUAUAUGUAUUCUGUAUAUAUGCCAGUGGUGUGUGUGUAGGUCAAAGGACAACUUGUGGAAAUUGGAUUUUCCUUCUACCAUGAGGCUCAAACUCAGGUCUCCUGGCUUGACUGCAAGAGCUUUUAUGCACCAAGCCGUCUCAUAGGCCCAAUUCCAGCUUUCUUACCCCCAAGGUCCAUUACCAUAGAAAGUUCUGAAGCCCAAUUCCAGCUUUCUUACCCCCAAGGUUCAUUACCAUAGAAAGUUCUGAAGUCCAGGAAGUUUACAAAAAACAAGAACAAACCAUAAGCUUCAACAAUAUGGAACAUAUUAAAUUGAUUUUUGAACUUUUUGGUUAAGAGGAUGCGCACACAGUUCUGGUGGUGGCUAUUAGCUUUGUCCUCUGAUUUAUUCACAACUUUUUACUCAUCUGAUGCUCCUAUGGUUCAUCUACCAUUCAUAUAAUCCAUGGUGCUUCUGAAAAAUUACCUGUUAUUGUACACUUACUGUGUUUUAUUCUUAACUAAUAGCAUCCUUGGCAUUGGAAAUAAAAGCUUUGAAAUGAUCAUAUGGAACUCCACUUGGCAUCUCAGAGCCACUUAGUUACUAAGCUUGGCUUUGGAAGGGCCUUACAGACAGGAAAGCUUUGUUCCAGCUUAGAUAUGUAUUAACAAGCAAUUUGAGACAAAACAGAGCAGCUACAAGAACAUAGAUAACAAAAAAGACGUACCCCCAAACCCUAAUCAAGCCCCCACUGGAACGCAGCUGUCAUUACAACAUCUUCCAAACUAGUUGGGUUUUGCACGUGUCCACACAGUAGACUAUGUACUGUCAGACUUGAAAGCUACUUCUUGAUAUUUAAAUAUAUGAUUAUGUUACUUUUCAGUUACAAUGAUGCCAGCAGAGUACAAAGCCUCCCCGCCUCCCCUGCCCACACCUCUGCCAGUGGGGUCUCACCUAUACACCGGGCUGGCCUUGAACUCUUCAACUUCCAACCACAGCCUCGACGUUUUCUACAACUUCAGUGCCAUUGAAACUAGUUUAAUGAUGGAGAUGCCACGACUGACGGAGUCCUCAUUGGGAAGCAGAGUGUUUGCUGGCUGCUUGGUCCACUUGGGUGGCUACUGCUGUUGCCUUAUUUACAGAGUGGAGAUGGAGAUGAAAUCCAAGGUCUUUCAAGAUAUGCAAAUGAAGCAUCCUUUUUAAAUUCAAAUUGUGGCAUAGCAUUAAAAAACUUAUUUUGAUUAAAAAUUAUACUUGUGAAUCUUCCCAUUCACUUACUCUUUCUUUUGUUUGAUUUUUAUUUCUUUUAAAGACAUUAAAAAUUUUUAAUUUAUAUAUAUGUGUGUGUGUGUGUGUGUGUGUG
Molecule: long non-coding RNA, 1454 nt
Filed under: Mus spicilegus (steppe mouse)
Lineage: Eukaryota; Metazoa; Chordata; Mammalia; Rodentia; Muridae
Description: lncRNA (ENSMSIG00000025694.1)
Source: RNAcentral